RNAcentral lists this non-coding RNA (28 nucleotides) under Cricetulus griseus (Chinese hamster). The record is from RNAcentral. Lineage: Eukaryota; Metazoa; Chordata; Mammalia; Rodentia; Cricetidae.
CUGGUGUCCCUUUUGUGUGCGAUGUCUC